UAGAGGGUAGUAUAAUUGGAAGUACAUAAGAUUUUGAGUCUUUUGGUGCGGGGUCGUAGCCCGUCGUUCUAG
RNAcentral lists this transfer RNA (72 nucleotides) under Quedenfeldtia moerens. RNAcentral describes it as "tRNA-Gln". It matches the Rfam family "tRNA". Rfam says of the family: Transfer RNA (tRNA) molecules are approximately 80 nucleotides in length. Their secondary structure includes four short double-helical elements and three loops (D, anti-codon, and T loops). Further hydrogen bonds mediate the characteristic L-shaped molecular structure. tRNAs have two regions of fundamental functional importance: the anti-codon, which is responsible for specific mRNA codon recognition, and the 3' end, to which the tRNAs corresponding amino acid is attached (by aminoacyl-tRNA synthetases). tRNAs cope with the degeneracy of the genetic code in two manners: having more than one tRNA (with a specific anti-codon) for a particular amino acid; and 'wobble' base-pairing, i.e. permitting non-standard base-pairing at the 3rd anti-codon position. The record is from RNAcentral. Lineage: Eukaryota; Metazoa; Chordata; Lepidosauria; Squamata; Sphaerodactylidae.